CGUAGGGUGCGAGCGUUAAUCGGAAGUUACUGGGCGUAAAGCGUGCGCAGGCGGUUUGUAAGACAGAUGUGAAAUCCCCGGGCUCAACCUGGGACCUGCAUUUGUGACUGCAAGGCUAGAGUACGGUAGAGGGGGAUGGAAUUCCGCGUGUAGCAGUGAAAUGCGUAGAUAUGCGGAGGAACACCGAUGGCGAAGGCAAUCCCCUGGACCUGUACUGACGCUCAUGCACGAAAGCGUGGGGAGCAAACAGGAUUAGAUACCCUGGUAGUCCACGCCCUAAACGAUGUCAACUGGUUGUUGGGUCUUUACUGACUCAGUAACGAAGCUAACGCGUGAAGUUGACCGCCUGGGGAGUACGGCCGCAAGGUUG
Molecule: ribosomal RNA, 370 nt
Filed under: uncultured organism
Description: bacterial SSU rRNA
Rfam family: Bacterial small subunit ribosomal RNA
Source: RNAcentral